UACGGAGGAUCCAAGCGUUGUCCGGAUUUAUUGGGUUUAAAGGGUGCGUAGGUGGAUAAUUAAGUCAGGGGUGAAAGCCUGCAGCUCAACUGUAGAACUGCCCUUGAAACUGAUUAUCUUGAAUGUGGUUGAGGUAGGCGGAAUGUGUCAUGUAGCGGUGAAAUGCUUAGAUAUGAUACAGAACACCAAUUGCGAAGGCAGCUUACUAAGCCAUUAUUGACACUGAGGCACGAAAGCAUGGGGAGCAAACAGGAUUAGAAACCCGCGUAGUCC
Molecule: ribosomal RNA, 273 nt
Filed under: uncultured bacterium
Lineage: Bacteria
Description: partial 16S ribosomal RNA
Rfam family: Bacterial small subunit ribosomal RNA
Source: RNAcentral